This 450-nucleotide ribosomal RNA is filed under the name uncultured Glomeromycotina. Its description in RNAcentral is "SSU rRNA". It matches the Rfam family "Eukaryotic small subunit ribosomal RNA", at positions 569 to 1023 of the family's 1831-position model. The record is from RNAcentral. Lineage: Eukaryota; Fungi; Glomeromycota.
AGCAGCCGCGGUAAUUCCAGCUCCAAUAGCGUAUAUUAAAGUUGUUGCAGUUAAAAAGCUCGUAGUUGAAUUUCGGGAUUAGUACGUUGGUCGUGCCUUCGGUACGUACUGGUGUUACUGAUUCCUACCUUCUGACGAACCAUCAUGUCAUUAAUUUGGUGUGGCGGGGAAUCAGGACUGUUACUUUGAAAAAAUUAGAGUGUUUAAAGCAGGCUCGCGCUUGAAUACAUUAGCAUGGAAUAAUGAAAUAGGACGUUGAUCCUAUUUUGUUGGUUUCUAGGAUUGACGUAAUGAUUAAUAGGGAUAGUUGGGGGCAUUAGUAUUCAAUUGUCAGAGGUGAAAUUCUUGGAUUUAUUGAAGACUAACUACUGCGAAAGCAUUUGCCAAGGAUGUUUUCAUUAAUCAAGAACGAAAGUUAGGGGAAUCGAAGACGAUCAGAUACCGUCGUAG